RNAcentral lists this ribosomal RNA (442 nucleotides) under uncultured bacterium. RNAcentral describes it as "partial 16S ribosomal RNA". It matches the Rfam family "Bacterial small subunit ribosomal RNA", at positions 338 to 795 of the family's 1533-position model. The record is from RNAcentral.
CCUACGGGAGACAGCAGUGGGGAAUAUUGGGCAAUGGGCGCAAGCCUGACCCAGCAACGCCGCGUGAAGGAAGAAGGCUUUCGGGUUGUAAACUUCUUUUGACAGGGAAGAGUAGAAGACGGUACCUGUCGAAUUAGACACGGCUAAAUACGUGCCAGCAGCCGCGGUAAUACGUAGGGCGGAGGUGUUGUCCGGGUUUACUGGGUGUAAAGGGCGUGUAGCCGGGUUGACAAGUCAGUUGUGAAAUUCUGGGGCUUAACCGGAGAACUGCAUUUGAAACUGUUGAUCUUGAGUACUGGAGAGGCAGACGGAAUUCCUAGUGUAGCGGUGAAAUGCGUAGAUAUUAGGAGGAACACCAGUGGCGAAGGCGGUCUGCUGGACAGCAACUGACGGUGAGGCGCGAAAGCGUGGGGAGCAAACAGGAUUAGAUACCCCUGUAGUC